GACGAACGCUGGCGGCGUGCUUAACACAUGCAAGUCGAACGGAAAGGCCUGCUUUCCCUUGUGGAUUGCGGGUACUCGAGUGGCGAACGGGUGAGUAACACGUGAGUGAUCUGCCCCCAACUUGGGUAUAAGCCUGGGAAACUGGGUCUAAUUCCCGAUAGGACUGCAGGGUGGUGCCUGUGGUGGAAAACGAUUUUCUAGUGGGUGGGGAUGAGCUCGCGGCCUAUCAGCUUGUUGGUGGGGUAAUGGCCUACCAAGGCGGCGACGGGUAGCCGGCCUGGGAGGGUGGACGGCCACAUUGGGACUGAGAUACGGCCCAGACUCCUACGGGAGGCAGCAGUGGGGAAUAGUGCACAAUGGGCGGAAGCCUGAUGCAGCGACGCCGCGUGGGGGAUGACGGCCUUCGGGUUGUAAACUCCUUUCGACCGCGAGGAAGCCACCUGGUUGGAAGGGUGGUGACGGUAGUGGUAGAAGAAGCACCGGCUAACUACGUG
RNAcentral lists this ribosomal RNA (494 nucleotides) under uncultured bacterium. RNAcentral describes it as "partial 16S ribosomal RNA". It matches the Rfam family "Bacterial small subunit ribosomal RNA", at positions 28 to 507 of the family's 1533-position model. The record is from RNAcentral.